This 472-nucleotide ribosomal RNA is filed under the name uncultured bacterium. RNAcentral's name for it is "bacterial SSU rRNA". It matches the Rfam family "Bacterial small subunit ribosomal RNA", at positions 328 to 793 of the family's 1533-position model. The record is from RNAcentral.
CGCUAUCACUCCUACGGGAGGCAGCAUGGGGAAUAUUGCACAAUGGGGGAAACCCUGAUGCAGCCAUGCCGCGUGUGUGAAGAAGGCCUUCGGGUUGUAAAGCACUUUCAGUAGGGAGGAAGGUAGUGUAGUUAACACCUGCACUAUUUGACGUUACCUACAGAAGAAGCACCGGCUAACUCCGUGCCAGCAGCCGCGGUAAUACGGAGGGUGCGAGCGUUAAUCGGAAUUACUGGGCGUAAAAGCGCAUGCAGGCGGCCUGUUAAGUCAGAUGUGAAAGCCCGGGGCUUAACCUCGGAAUUGCAUUUGAAACUGGCAGGCUAGAGUCUUGUAGAGGGGGUAGAAUUUCAGGUGUAGCGGUGAAAUGCGUAGAGAUCUGAAGGAAUACCAGUGGCGAAGGCGGCCCCCUGGACAAAGACUGACGCUCAGAUGCGAAAGCGUGGGGAGCAAACAGGAUUAGAUACCCUGGUAG